RNA transcript from Tachysurus vachellii, 2692 nucleotides. It is a transcript of the gene named lysine acetyltransferase 14, with no coding region annotated. The transcript is spliced from 11 exons. The record is from RefSeq and is a predicted model, not a curated record. Lineage: Eukaryota; Metazoa; Chordata; Actinopteri; Siluriformes; Bagridae.
AUGGAUGGACUGGAAAAGCGAGGCAUGAUGGGACAGGACGAGGAGGCUCUCUGUACGUCAGCUUCUGAUGGCCUGGAGGAGGGCGAGGUGGAGGGUGAGACUCUGCUCAUUGUCGAAUCGGAGGACCAGGCGUCCGUGGACCUCUCGCAUGACCAGAGCGGUGACUCGCUGACCAGCGAUCCAGGCGAGGACACAGAGGGCACCUGGAGCGAGGACACCGCCUUCUACUGCGAAAAGUGUCGCAAGUGGAUCCCUGCUGCCCAGCUUCGAGGAGAGCAGCCCAGUUACCUGAAAGGAGACAACUUCUUUAAGUUCAUCUGCUCCGACUGUUCCGAUGACGGCAAGGAAAGUUUUGAGAGGAUGCGCCUCACGUGGCAGCAGGUGGUGAUGCUCGCCAUGUAUAACCUGUCUUUGGAGGGUACGGGCCGGCAAGGCUACUUCCGCUGGAAGGAGGACAUAUGCGCUUUCAUCAGCCGACACUGGACAUUUCUACUCGGCAGCAGGAAGAAGACCUCAACGUGGUGGAGCACAGUAGCGGGUUGUUUGUCUGUAGGGAGCCCAACAUUUUUCCGCUCGGGAGCGCAGGAGUUUGGCGAGCCUGGCUGGUGGAAGCUGGUCCAAAACCGACCUCCAACCCUUAGACCAGAGGGAGACAAAGUGUCCGGUACAUCCCUCAAGGUCAAAGCUACAUCGAAGCCUCCACCAGACCCCACCAUUACGGUGGAGGGGCUGCGGAAGCGAGGAGGGCGCAGUGCAGUGGAGAGCGCCAUGCGGCUGAAAGAGAAGCGGUCCCGCACACAGGAGGCCAAGGAGAUCCGGCGAGCACAGAGAGAGGCUGCUUCGUCAGUGCCACUCAGGCCGACCGGACGCUCUUUCACGCUGGAGAGGGGUGAGGUGGUGGACUUCGCAUCACUGAGUUCGUCAGACCGUACGUCACCAUCGCCGUCACCCUCGCCUGAUUUCUCUGCUCCUGGCACGCCUGCCUCGCACUCUGCCACACCUAGUCUGCUGUCGGAGGCAGACCUUGUACCGGAUGCCAUGCCCCCACAGGCGCUCUUUCACGAUGACGAAGAGCUAGACGGCGAGUGCGCAAUCGACCCAGGAAUCGAGUUUGCACCCCCGCCCCGGGGCCCAGCUGGCACGAUGUUCGCACGCAAAAAGCAGGAGCUUAUAAAACAGGAGCCAGAGAGUGAGGACGACGCAGAGGACAGCAGAGACGAAGGCAGAAAAGAGAAAAGCGAGCGCAGGAAGGACAAAGGUGAAGUCGGCCCAGCACCCACACCCCGCUACGCGCCUCUCAGCCUGUAUGAAGAGCGUAUGCUGCUACGGAGGUUGGAAGCAUGUCCCCAAGCGCUGGCUGUCACGCCACAGGCCAACCGACUGCACCGUAAACUCCUGGUUAGACAGGCUAAGCGUGAGCGUGGUCUCCCCCUGUUGGACGUCGACCAGGCUGUCAGCGCCACCCUCAGUUUGGUCGGCGGUGUGUACGGAGCACAGGUGUCCACGGUCAGUGAGAUGGGCAAGUACAGGAUGAACAGCCAGGAUCUGCGCAUACUCGACCGCUUUCAGGUCACGACAUCCAGCAAGAAGGGCGUGUUCCAGUCCAACGUCUCCUUCUGGCACAGACUCAUGGGCUCUGAUGCAUGUCUGGACCAAGACAUUAAGAGUCCUUACACAUCUAGAACUCUCAAACCUUACAUAAGGAGAGACUAUGAGACGAGGCCGCUGAAGAUGAGGCUGCUGGCUGAGAUCCGAUCACGUCCUCACAGGAACGACCCGUCCUGGGUCCCAGAACCCGAAUCACCCGUAGACUACUGCUACGUCCGACCCAACCACAUCCCUUCUGUCAACUCCAUGUGUCAGGAUAUGUUUUGGCCAGGUGUGGACCUGUCCGAGUGCUUGCAGUACCCAGAUUUCAGCGUCGUGGUGCUCUAUAAGAAGGUGGUGAUCGGAUUCGGCUUCAUGGUGCCGGACGUGAAAUAUAACGAAGCCUACAUCUCCUUCCUGCUGGUGCAUCCUGAGUGGAGGAGAGCCGGGAUCGCUACCUUCAUGAUUUACCAUCUGAUUCAGACGUGCAUGGGGAAGGACGUCACCCUUCACGUUUCCGCCAGCAACCCAGCCAUGCUGCUGUAUCAGAAGUUCGGCUUUAAGUCUGAGGAAUACAUCUUGGACUUCUAUGAUAAAUAUUACCCAGUGGACAGUAAAGAAUGCCGCCACGCGUUUUUCCUGCGGCUGAGACGCUAACCAACUUUCAACUGGACUGGGAUGUUGGCAGGAAAAGACAAUAUUAUAGAUGUGUAAAAGUUUUGGCGUUUAAGUAAAUGACACCAGAGAAUGGCAUUAGACACUAGUGAGCUACACACCUGUAAACGUUUUCUAACUGACUCACACCAGACAAACCGUUACCUGUGUGCGACAGGGAAAAGAAGGUUACAUUUCACACUGUGAGCUGCAUCUCUGUCAUAUGAUUUGGAGGCAGCUACUUUUGGAACAUUUCCUUUGUACAAGUAAUAACUUAUACCAAGAAUUUGCACUAAAGUCCAAAUAGUUUUUUUUACCAUUCCAACAAGUAUGAGAUCAUUUCUCUGCUGUUAUCUUGGGAUAUUAUUUGCAUGUCUGAAAAUAAUGAGCAAGCUAAAAAUCAGACCAAAUAAUGGUCCAAAAUAAACACUUCAAGCUAAAACAAGUUCAA